Molecule: non-coding RNA, 997 nt
Organism: Ictidomys tridecemlineatus (thirteen-lined ground squirrel)
Lineage: Eukaryota; Metazoa; Chordata; Mammalia; Rodentia; Sciuridae
Source: RefSeq, a predicted model, not a curated record
CGGACGCCCCAGGAGGAGGGGCGAAGGCUGGGACCUCGUCGGCAGCGCGGAUCGUCCGGGCAGCCACCGUCAGUGCGGUUGCCCCAGGACUGGUUCUGCGGAGGUCAGCAGUACUCGAGGGGCAGUUUUUCCUUGGUGAGAUGAUGCUCCUGCCUAGGGAAGCCCUCUUUUCCCCCAGGAGGCGACUGCCGACACUUAAGAGGGCAUCCGUCCUCUUAAGCAUGCUGUCCCUUGGGGUGGUUUCAGUCCCUUGUCAAAGAUUCUGACCAACCACGUCAGUAGUUCCUGGAGUCCACGGUAACUGAAGAAGAAGGUGGCUCAGAAGAGAGAGAAAAGGCAAAUGGAGUUGGUUAGGAGAAAGGUCUCAAGACAAUUCUAAGUGCGAAUCCUUCAAAACUUUCCCCUAGAGAAUGUAUAUCUGUAUGUAAUAGGAAUUACAUGAUACAUGUUGUUAAAUACAUAUAUAUUGUUCUGCAUCUCCUUUAAAAUUCUUUUAUGUAAAUUUUCAUCAGUGUCAAUAUUUACAGGUAUAGGAUUCUGUAGAAGGAAUGUACCAUAAUUUAAUCAUUUCUCUGCUUCACAACAUUUAAGUUGAAUGCUGCACAUUCACAUUUGGAAUUUUUAAACAUAAUACCAAUAUACUCCAUGCAGGUUGUACUAUUUUAAUUUCUCUGAGCAUCUUUUAAUAUAUUUUUAAAGAUAUUUUAGUUGUAGAUGGACACAGUACCUUUUUAUUUAUUUAUUUUUAAUGUGGUGCUGAGUAUUGAACCCAGAACCUCACACAUGCUAGGUGAGCGCUGUACCACUGAGCCACAACCCCAGCCCUCUGAGUAUCUUUUUAUUUAUUAGCCACUCGGAUUUCUGUAAAUUGCCUCUUAAUAUAAUUUGCCCAUUUCCUUCCCUUCUUAUUUCUCAUAUAAGAAGGUCUUCAAAAUAUGAGAUAUCUAGGUCUGAGGACAUUUUUGUCUUUUGAGAAUAAACUACAAUUUUUCAAGUA